This 1928-nucleotide long non-coding RNA is filed under the name Chrysemys picta bellii (western painted turtle). Its description in RNAcentral is "lncRNA (ENSCPBG00000018188.1)". The record is from RNAcentral. Lineage: Eukaryota; Metazoa; Chordata; Testudines; Emydidae.
GUUACAUCUAAACAUUGCCCAAAGGUUAGCAGGUCUCCGGGGUGCAUUUGAUCUGCAAAUAAUUUCCGAACGGAGCGAAAGCAGAGCAAAUAACAAUUCCUAAGCCCCGGCUUCACAAAGACGGAAGGGUUUCCAUUGAUUUUUAUACUUUGCUUGUCUAUAUAAAAACAAAGACCUGGCUACUUUCUGGAGCCUCAGUCACACCAGGCGCUGUCUGGAAUGGUCUUCCUUCCCACCCCUUGUAUUUAAACAAAGCGCAUCUCCUUUCCAGACUCAGGACAGUGCGAGUAUCUGUUCCUAAAGGGAAGGCUAACCGAUGCUGACCAGCUUGUCUGCUUUGACGGACCAAAGAAAGGGGAGAGGGAAGGGGAAGUGACUGUUGAUUGCCCAGCUCUUUGUAAAGAGGAUGAGAAAUCUGUCAGAGAAACAUCACUCCUGCCUCAGGCUGGGAACAAACUACUGGGGCCUGCCUAGACCUGAGCCCUUUUAAAUGCAUCACUACAUGUCCACUUUACGUAAUGAGACAUUUAAGCUGUCAGCAUUCAGACCAGAAGCAGAAACACCAAAUCAGGAACAUAUCAGUAGUCCAUCAAGUCUGGUAUCCUGUCUCCAACUGUGGCUAGUACUAGAAUCUUCAGCAGAAGAUCUAAAGCAUCCAAAAUGGACCUCAUGAAAGGUGGUGCUGAUGGCAUUGGUAGCCCAAGUUAAACCAGGAAGUGCCAAAACUUACUUAAGAAAAGCUGUUCUGAGAUUCUUAUUGUAUAUCCAAGAACUGUGGUUGGUUCAGUAAAGCAUCAGAACUUCCUAGGUUUUGAAGACUAUCCUAGCUCAAAACCUCUCUGAGCUUCCCUCAUCAUGAUAUUGAAUACAUGAAGAAGCUGCUUUGUCAAUUUGUUACAAGUGCACACUGCUUUGAACGAAACAGGAGACAACAUUCAAUCAUGUGUCUUCUUUCCCUUUCAUCUCUCUCCGCCCUUGCCACCCGCAAAUGACUCACAGAGCUUCUUUCAGGGAUUUCUUUAGUAACUGACCUUCUUUACGACUGAAGGAAAGGAUGGUAUUGCCUCUCCCUGCAUUGGAGGUGAAAUGAGUCAUCAUUUGCUAUUUCUGGAGUCAGAGGCAUGAAGCCUGCAGAUUUCUCUGCUGCUGACGACAAUUGAGAGGUCAUGUCGAAGGCAGAGGGUGGGGGGAAAUCAAAACCAAAUAUAGUCAUGUAUAUAUGUGGUAAAUCUGUGUAAAAUUCAGUGGUUUCUCCUUGUUAUGAUUCAUACAAGCUUUUGCACAGUUUCAGCUCUUAUGGGUUCUCACUGUGAAUUUUGCUUUGAAGUUCUGGUUUAAACUAAAAUGAGAUGUCUGAACAACACCAAAAAUCCCAUCUUCUUGGGCCAUUAGGAUGCAAUAUGGCCCCAAUGUAAUUCAAUGCUGUUUGGUGGGCAGCACACACAAGACCAAGUCAUAUAUUAGCCAUGUUCCGAUACACAGCUAUGAGCCUGCAAAAGUUGAAGGUUAUAGUAUGAUUUGGGGAACUUGAGUAAAACACUGGUCCCAUCUACACAGAAAUCAAACCAUGUCAAAUGAUUAUCGUGUCUGAACUUGGUUCCCCCUACAAAUGUAAGGAUUAGAAUGUAGAUGGGACUAAAGUCUCAGAGCUGAACUCAACUAAAACCAGAAGGUUUCACCUGCUUUCGGGACAAAACCACCAUGUUUUGCAUAUUUAUUUUCCACCAAUCUGACUAGAGUUUCCAGUUUGUAUGGACACCUGAAACUGGGUGCAUUUUGCUUUGGGGCAAAAGUCUUCGUUAGUUCCAGUACAGGGGCAGAAAGGGCUUUUCAGGGUGUGUGUAAGCCACCAACCCUAUUUCUCCCCCUCCCACACACACUUCUGCUGUGAAAAUAAAGACUGUUAGGGGCCAAGUUGAGUACCUAAA